GACGACGCUGGCGGCGUGGAUUAGGCAUGCAAGUCGAACGGUAUCAUCCUUUCGGGGGUGAGAGAGUGGCGAACUGGUGAGUAACACGUAGGUUAUCUACCCUCAAGACGGGGACAACCCAGGGAAACUUGGGCUAAUACCGGAUGUGAGCAACUUUUAGUGUUUGAAAGGUGGCGUAAGCUGUCGCUUGGGGAUGAGCCUGCGUCCUAUUAGUUAGUUGGUGAGGUAACGGCUCACCUAGGCAAUGAUAGGUAGGCGGCCUUAACGGGUGGUCGCCCACACUGGGAUUGAGAUACGGCCCAGACUCCUACGGGAGGCAGCAGUCGAGAAUAGUCUACAAUGGUCGGAAGACUGAUAGUGCGACGCCGCGUGAACGAUGAAUCCCCCUCGGGGUGUAAAAGUUCUUUUAUAUGUGAGCAGUGCUUCUUAUAUUAACAGUAUGGGGAGAGAGAUAUUAGCAUAUGAAUAAGCAACGGCUAACUCCGUG
This 487-nucleotide ribosomal RNA is filed under the name uncultured bacterium. Its description in RNAcentral is "bacterial SSU rRNA". It matches the Rfam family "Bacterial small subunit ribosomal RNA", at positions 33 to 507 of the family's 1533-position model. The record is from RNAcentral.